ACGGGUGAGUAACGCGUGGGAAUCUACCCAUCCCUACGGAAUAACGCAUGGAAACGUGUGCUAAUACCGUAUACGCCCUACGGGGGAAAGAUUUAUCGGGGAUGGAUGAGCCCGCGUUGGAUUAGCUAGUUGGUGGGGUAAAGGCCUACCAAGGCGACGAUCCAUAGCUGGUCUGAGAGGAUGAUCAGCCACAUUGGGACUGAGACACGGCCCAAACUCCUACGGGAGGCAGCAGUGGGGAAUAUUGGACAAUGGGCGCAAGCCUGAUCCAGCCAUGCCGCGUGAGUGAUGAAGGCCUUAGGGUUGUAAAGCUCUUUCACCGGAGAAGAUAAUGACGGUAUCCGGAGAAGAAGCCCCGGCUAACUUCGGGCCAGCAGCCGCGGUAAUACGAAGGGGGCUAGCGUUGUUCGGAAUUACUGGGCGUAAAGCGCACGUAGGCGGAUCGAUCAGUCAGGGGUGAAAUCCCAGAGCUCAACUCUGGAACUGCCUUUGAUACUGUCGAUCUGGAGUAUGGAAGAGGUGAGUGGAAUUCCGAGU
RNAcentral lists this ribosomal RNA (537 nucleotides) under uncultured bacterium. Its description in RNAcentral is "bacterial SSU rRNA". It matches the Rfam family "Bacterial small subunit ribosomal RNA", at positions 102 to 674 of the family's 1533-position model. The record is from RNAcentral.